UUACGACCACACCACGUUGAAACACAGUUUUCCGUAAGAUCUCCGAAGUUAAGUAACGUCGAGCUUGGUCAGUACCUAAAUGGUUGACCGUUUGGAAAUAACAGAUGUUGUAA
Non-coding RNA from Acanthosepion pharaonis, 113 nucleotides. NCBI's taxonomy places the organism in Eukaryota, Metazoa, Mollusca, Cephalopoda, Sepiida, Sepiidae. The record is from the annotation of a GenBank genome assembly.